Long non-coding RNA from Lineus longissimus, 3793 nucleotides. RefSeq lists it as uncharacterized. The transcript is spliced from 5 exons. NCBI's taxonomy places the organism in Eukaryota, Metazoa, Nemertea, Pilidiophora, Heteronemertea, Lineidae. The record is from RefSeq and is a predicted model, not a curated record.
ACUAGCCUUAAGCCUACAUCUAUGUACACAAAAUGCAUACAAAAAAGAAAUUCCUUACCAUGCCCUCACCGAAAGGCAGUGCACUGAAAAUGACUGCAUCACACUGCUUUUGACUGAAACCCCCACUGCAUAUGACUGUCUUAGGCAUAUCAUUUUUUCUUAAUGUUUUAAAACCACUGAUUUUGACUGAAAGACCACUGCAAAGCACUGCAGGAAUGAGGGUUAGGGGUAGGCGACACCGCCAGGAGGCAGGAUUGCCGAAGAGUGGGUCAUUUUCCAAAGAAAUCGAGGGCACAAUCGGCAUGAUUUACCCAGGGUAUUCACCGGGAAAAUUAAGGGGGAUCCCAGAGUAAGAUAACUAUUUGAUGAUGCCUUUUCUCUCCUGAAAAGAUUGGUAUAGUAAACUAAACACGGAGUAUGAUUUCUCCGGUAGUUAAGUCCAUUGUGUCAAGAAUUUUAAAGGCAUUCACGCUACCACGUUACCACAACUGGAUCAUGAUUUUCAUUUCAUUUCAGAGUACUUACAAAUCCAAAUGGGAGUCAUUCUCCCUUUGGAACUGCUGUCCACAGUUGGUUUUUCCCUGUUGUAGAUUUCAACAGCUUUCAGUCUGAUGGCAACUGCCUCCAUGAUGGAGUCCGAGUGUCUGGGAUUGCUCCAGAGGGUUGCCCACUACAGAGGAGGAAGAAUGAAUAGAAUUAACAUUGACCCAUCAGUUUGGUUUAGAUUACCAGUAAAUAAAGAUGAUGCACUAGGUUACUUCAAUUUGAUUCAGCACCCAAUGGAUUUUUCAACCAUCCAAGGGAAAAUAAAGAGUGGUCAGUAUAAAGACAUUGAGGACUUUCAUACAGACAUGCUCCUCCAUCACAGAUAAUUGUGUGAAGUACAACAGAGAUCCAGCAAGUCAGAUUCGGGUUGACUGUGAAACUGUCUUUGGCUUCUACACUGUUGAGUAUGAUAAACUGAAGAGCAGGAUAAACUGAAGAGCAAAGAUCGAAUGGAAGGAAAGACUGAGAGCUGAAUUUGUACCCCCUGUUAAACUUGACCAAUAUGUUCAGGUAGAGAUGAAAUCGAAACUACGGUGUGUGACGAACCCGACCCGUGUUCUGCCAAACGACUCUGCGAGGUGCUACCUGAGCAACACAACCAUGACUAAACGAGUUAACAAAACAUGCAAGGCAUUGGAAGCAUUUCAUGGAGCUGAUUCAAAAAGUGUGCAGGAUGGAUUGUGGCUGACGUUGGUUAAAAAAGCAGGAAAGGGAGCCAUUCAAAAGUACUAUUCAAAUUUAUCGAAUUUAUGGAAGGCAGGGUAACAAAGCAUAAGGAACGGGUAACGGAAGCAAAUGUGGUCCGGUGUGUCAAAUACAUGUAUCGUAAUGGUUCAAAUAUCCAUUCGAAAAUACACUUCAUUGCGGCAGGCAGAUCUCAGUUUCGAAUGUAGUGGUGAUGAGCUGAUGACAUAUCAGUUGAAAAGUAUUUGUAAAGAGCUUCAGGUUCAUGAAGUUGCAGGUGUUUCCGGCUGCUACCGGAAUCUCGAAGACACCCUCCUGAAGAUAGCAUCAGUCUAUUUAGAGAUAGAUGAGAAGUUACAGGUUAAUGGGCAAUCUUUGAAUUGGCUGAAGAAGGAAAGAGGCCAUUUUUCGAUAUCUGUUGGGGCAGAUGGUGCUCCUGCCUCGAAGUUGAAAACGCACACGUCUGUUCUAUUGUCUUUUCUGAAUUUGCCUGAGAAGGUUAAUAGCUGCAUGUACCAGUUUUUGUUGUUCGGGGCUGAUGUACCUGAGGACCAUGCUUCUAUUCUCAACUAUGUUGCCAAAAUAGCUUCAAACAUGGAGUCCAUUGAGAAGAAAGAGUUCAUGAUUGGAUCCACUGUGGUCAGGUUUACUCUUGAACUUGUUCCGGGUGACUGCAAGUGGAUAGCCACUGUUUGUGGCGAGCUCAGCAAUGCAGCUACCUAUCCAUCCAGUUAUGGCAAUGUGCGAAAAGAUGACCUGUCAAAGCUUGACGGAAGUUUAGUUGGCAGUGAAUCCACCUGGAAACCUUGAUCGUAUCUUGAUCGACUAGCCGUGGUAAAAAAAGUGGCCUUGAAAAAUCAGGAGGCCAGCAGGCGUGAUGUAGUGACUAAAUACAUUGCAUCCUUGCAUUCUAGGCAAGAACACGUACCUACACUUGGCAUUUACCGCACUGUUAUCUCUUCAUCUGAAAAAUAACAUCUGUGCUCAGCUUCCCCAGGCUAUUUUGACUGAAGCCCUAACACUAACUGAUGAUAAGGUCAUCAGGGGUGGCAUUGAUUUUAAGAAUACUGCUUUCAUAGAAUCUCCCUUUGGGAGAUACCUGGUUUGUCUUUGGGAUGAAGUUCACGCUGGUCGUAUUUUCAUACAGGUCAGAAGGUGGUUUACAGAGAAUUGUGCAGCUCUGUCAAAAGGUUCCUGUGGCACAAGGCUUCUUGGUGUAAGGUUUACAGGAGAAGACUCCUUCAAAUUUUGCCAGGGUUACCCCUACUUGAUCAAGGCUGUGGGACAAAAUGGGACUCCUGAUAGACAAUUCAGACUCCUGGAAUUUCACUUUGCCUGCACGGUUGUGCGCGAAGCUAUUGGUCUUGCUUCAAAGAUCAAAUUCAGUCAGUUUGAACUGCAACGAUUGCAGACUGUUUGUCGACAGUACCAUGCAUGUCACGUUCUUUUGAUGACUGGAGCAAACUUGACAACUUGGCAUCUUGGAUAUGUUGUUCCAUUUCAUGCGGAGGUUCUUUAUUACCGCUUAGGAGUUGGUCUAGGUAUCAAUAGUAUGCAAGGACGGGAGGCCAAGAACAAACAAUUGAAGGAGUAUGCGAGAUUCAGUACCCCCCAGAACAAGUGGGGUAUGAUAUUCCGGUAUGAAUAUCUUGAUCUGUAUUGGCUCAAAGAGCAUAAUAUGGAUGUUGUUGUGAAAGAUUUGGUAAAAGUAGGUCCAGAGAUAGAUAUCACAUCAAUCCAAAUGUGAAAGCUGACAUGUGUAAGUGUGGUUUAGCCACUGAGGGUACGUCUAUUCUGCAAUCAUCCCACAAUGAAGCUGAUUGAAAAGCUGUGAGAAAAGACGUGAGCUGUGAGCUGUGAGCUGUGAGAAAAGACGAAUCUCACCAGAAAUGAGGAAGGCACAGCGUGAUGUUGUCUGGUAGAAAGGCCUUUCCAUUCCUGUUUUUUUAAUUUUAAUUUUUAAUUUUAAUCAUAGGUACAUCUAAUAAAGCCACAUAACAUAUCAUACGGGUUUUUGAUUUGACCUAUUUUUUAAGGUCGCAGAAGUCAAAUAGUGUAAAUUGGCACAUUUUGCAAAUAAUGAAGCUUUUGACUUAAAACUUGGUACAAUUGUACCUCCUAAAGAUUCAUGCACUUGAUUGGGAACAACGUUUACAUAGUGUUGGCUGUCGUCACGUCACGAUACAUUGUAACUCUGACGGUUUUACAUUAGUGUAACUACAUGUAAUGGCCAAAAGCUGUGAGCAGUUAAAGGUGGAUUGGAAUAUUCUGUAAUGGCCAAAUUUCUAUAGAAUGUGCGUUGAUAGCCCUGCAUCAGGUUAUAAUGGCACUGCCUUGGUCAAUAGCCACUGGUGUAUAAUGCAGGAAAAUGAGGAUAUUUGUUGUGUUGUUGUACAAGGAUUCAUAGUUGCCAGAUUUGCAUAGAUUAUCAAAAGGAAAGGAGUUCAGUUCUAAAUUGGUUGAUUGAAAAACGUGUCCAAAUGUCAAGUUUUGAAUGCUCAAUUUUGUUGUCCACGACUUCUUAAUGUCAUUCAUACAAAUUAUUAAUGAAUGUCAAUGAUAA